Molecule: long non-coding RNA, 822 nt
Organism: Salvia splendens (bonfire salvia)
Lineage: Eukaryota; Viridiplantae; Streptophyta; Magnoliopsida; Lamiales; Lamiaceae
Exons: 2
Source: RefSeq, a predicted model, not a curated record
UGGAACCAAAAUUUCAUGAUUGAUUUCCUUAGAUCCAUUCAAAUUCGGUUUUUCCAUUCCAUUCAUCCGACGCGAUUCUUCUCCAAUUCAUCGCGACGCGAAUUUUGUCCAAUUCAUCGCGAUUCUUCUCCAAUUCAUUGCAGUUCAUCGUGAUUCCAUUCUUCUCCAAUUCAUCAAUCACGCAAAAGAGAAAUCAAUGGAUUCAAUUCUGAUGUGGGGACGAAGAUUAUUUCGAUUCUGAUUCAUCAUCGUUGAGAGAGGAAGCUGAGACUUCUAAAUUUAUUUACAUGCCAAAAUGUCCCGAAGAUUUAAAGCCAAGAAUUGGACAAAGUUUAUCACUCUUGAUCAUGCAUUGGACUUCUAUAACAAUUACGCUUGACAUGUUGGGUUUUAUACCCGUAAGAAGGGAUCAAAAAGGUGAAAGAAAAGACAAAAAUACAGACACUGAGGUUAUCAAUGAAACCAAGUCGAAAAUGUGGACUGCCAAGAGAUUGGACAUCAUGAUUCGAGGAACUGCAGAAAGGUGAAAGAGAAGACAAAACAGAGGCACUGAGAAUUUGGACAGAAAUAGUUCACUUUGUAGCAUGUUUAGUGCAUUAAUGACUCGUUUUUACUUCACUUUUUAGUGAUUUUUAUCUCGUUGCAAACUUGUUUUUUGUGUUCUGCUCAAGUGCGAAUAAGUUCACUUUUACAUGUGUUUAUUUCACUGCUUACAAGUCUUUAGUUCACAUAUUAGAUGUUUUGGUUCACAUUAUAGCAGAAAUGAAAUACUAUAUAGUCUUGUAUACUGAUGUUUGAUAAUUCAGUGAAGAAUAUUAUUCA